UGGGUGUAAAGAGUUGCGUAGGUGGCAAGAUAAGUAGAUAGUGAAAUCUGGUGGCUCAACCAUUCAGACUAUUAUCUAAACUAUCUAGCUCGAGACUGUUAUGGGUAACUGGAAUUUCUAGUGUAGGAGUGAAAUCCGUAGAUAUUAGAAGGAACACCGAUAGCGUAGGCAGGUUACUGGGACAGUUCUGACACUAAGGCACGAAAGCGUAGGGAGCAAACGGGAUUAGAUACCCCGGUAGUCUACGCCGUAAACGAUGGAUACUAGCAGUUUUGGGUAUCGACCCCCGGAGUUGCGAAGCUAACGCGUUAAGUAUCCCACCUGUGUAGUACGAUCGCAAGAUUAAAACAUAAAGGAAUUGACGGGGACCCGCACAAGCGGUGGAGCGUGAUCUUUAAUUCGAUGGUAAACGAUAAACCUUACCAAGGCUUGACAUCCGAUGUAGGCUCUCGAAAGAGAACUGUGCCUUCGGGAACAUCGAGACAGGUGAUGCAUGGCCGUCGUCAGCUCGUGUCGUGAG
RNAcentral lists this ribosomal RNA (520 nucleotides) under uncultured bacterium. Its description in RNAcentral is "bacterial SSU rRNA". It matches the Rfam family "Bacterial small subunit ribosomal RNA", at positions 555 to 1071 of the family's 1533-position model. The record is from RNAcentral.